AUGGAAGCGACGGCGGUGAGCUUGGCGAGGUCCGUGCUGGACGGCGUGCUGAGCAGCGCGGGCUCUGCGGUCGCCGACGAGGUCGCGCGGCUCCUGGGCGUGCCCAAGGAGGUGGAGUUCAUCCGCAACGAGCUGGAGAUGAUGCAAUCCUUUCUUAGGGUGGCCUCGGCGCGCCCCGACGCCGCCGCGCGCAACGACACCGUGCGGACCUGGGUGAAGCAGGUGCGCGACCUCGCCUACGACGUCGAGGACUGCCUCCUCGACUUCGCCCUCUACUCUGCCACCGUCUCCUCGUCGACGUGGUCCUGGCUCCCGGCCCCCCUGGCCGAACGCCGCCGCAUCGCCGCGCGGAUCCGGGACCUCAAGGCCAGCGUCGAGGAGCUGAACCAGCGCAACCUGCGGUACCACGUCAUCGUCGACCACUGCCCCCCGAUGCGCGGCGUCGAGGUGGAUGUUGGUCAGCAGCAGCUGCUCCCGGACCAGGACGUGCUCUCGGCCGCCGAGGUCGCGUUCCAGGAGUGGGACAUCAUCGGGCGAAGCAGCGAGAAGGCCGAGCUCAAGGACAAGAUCUUGGGCGGCGACGGCGGUAAGCUGGGCGUCGUGUCGGUGUGGGGGAUGGGCGGCAUGGGCAAGUCGUCGCUGGUGAGCAUCGUGCGCAACGACCCGGUGCUCCUCGACGCGUUCGACUGCGGCGCGUGGGUGACCGUGCCGCACCCGCUCGACAACGCCGACGAUUUCAGGCGGUGCCUCAGAAAACAGCUCCAGCUCGGAGCGGCAGCGCACGACGAGCCGGCGGACGCCAUCCGGGUCCGGGAGCACCUCAAGGACAAGCGGUACGUGAUUGUAGUCGAUGAUCUGCUCUCGCAGGAGGAAUGGACGCAUGUAUGGCAAGUCCUCAACUUCCAUAACGGCAAGGGAAGCCGUGUAAUCGUCACUACGCGCCGCCAGGACGUCGCCCGGCACUGCGCCCGAAACGUUGGUGAGGGGUAUGGCCUUGUCUACGAGCUCAAGCCACUUGGGGAUAAUGAGUCCAUGAGUCUCCUGUGCAAGAAGGUCUAUAAUACAAGUAAUUUUAAUUUGCCUGUUGAAAUGGAGGAGCAAGCCAGCCGUAUUUUAAAGAGAUGUCGAGGUCUUCCACUCGCCAUUUCCACGAUAGGUGGUCUCCUAGCCAAUAGGCCGAAGACAAGCAUUGAAUGGAUGAAGAUGCAUGAACACCUUGGAGCAGAGUUGGAGUCUGAUCUUCGCAACAUCACAAAUGUGAUUGUCUCAAGUUAUGAUGGAUUGCCAUACCAUUUGAAAUCAAUCUUCAUAUACCUCAGUAUCUUCCCUGAAAACCAAGAGAUCAGAUGCACCCGCCUAUUGAGGCGGUGGAUGGCAGAGGGCUACAUAGCAAAGAACCGCGAUAUGCCUGUGGAGGAGGUAGGGGAACGUUUCUACAAUGAGCUUAUCAAUAGAAGCAUGAUCCAACCCUCAAAGAAGAAGAUUAUCCCUGGUGUGAGAGUUUCUCACUGCAUGAUUCAUAGUAUGGUGCGGCAGAUCAUCCUAUCCAAGGCAGUUGAGGAAAACCAACUCUUCCUCGUUGAGAAGCAGUGCAAUGAGGUACCACAUAGUAAGAUACGUCACUUGGUGGUAUCUAGGUGGAAAGGAAGGGAGGAGAAGCUAGAACACAUAAAUCUGUCAUAUAUUCGAUCAUUGACGAUUUUUGGAGAGUGCCCUGUUUCCCUCAUCUCUCCUAAAAUGCGGCUUCUGCGAGUGCUGGACCUAGAAGACACAAUCAAUAUGAGGAAUGAAGACCUUAGGCACAUUGGGGAGUUGCCUCACCUUAGUUACCUUUCCUUGAGAGGAACAAAGAUAUCAAAGCUUCCAUCUUCUUUGCAAAAACUUCGUUACCUAGAGACACUAGACAUUGAAGACACAAAGGUGACAAAGCUCCCUCAUGGAAUUUUUAAACUUGAGAAGCUACGUUAUCUUCUUGCUGGAGUGAACUUCUCAAAAGAUCUAUUGCAAAAGCUGGUGCAACCAGAGAUGAAUAACAAAAACACAAACCUGUUGGGAAACAUGGCACCUUUUCUAUGCUGCAAUAGAAUGGAUUAUUGCAAUAUUUCCAACAUGGACCAACUCAGUGUAAGGGCUCCUAAAGGUAUCGAGAAGCUAAGGAACUUGCAUAUGUUUGGUGCAUUCAAUGUUGGCCAGGGCAAUGGUGUAGGAGGGAGGCUCGGGAAGCUGACUAACCUGCAAAGGUUAGGAGUCACAGUCACAGGUCUCACUGAGGAAGAAGGCCGGGAGUUGUGCCAGUCAAUAGAAAAGCUUGGUCGACUUCAGCGACUUGAGGUGCGAUCUUAUUCUCUUGAGUUUCUUGCAAAAAUGGAUGAAUCAUCAACACCGAAGCAUCUAGCUUCACUCAAGCUAUUAGGCAAUCUAUUCAUAUUGCCCAAAUGGAUUACGUCGCUUAAUGAUCUAGCCACGGUGAAGAUGCUAGGAACAAAACUACAACAGGGACAAGUUGAUAUCCUCGGAAACUUGCGCAGUCUCGCUGCCCUUUGCUUGUGGGAGAGAUCCUACAGAGGGGAGUCAUUGUGUUUCAGUGCUGGUAAGUUUCCAAAGCUCAAGUUCCUUGAUAUUGAUUGGCUAGACAAUAUUGAAACUAUGGAAAUCAAGGAUGGUGCAAUGCCUGAGCUUGAGCGUCUUUGGCUGAACAACUGCAAAGCACUAUGUGACAGUGGCGAGGGCUUAUCCGGAGUGCCGUAUUUGCCAAACUUGAAUGAGCUUCUUGUGAAGAAAUGUGGCGAGAAGGAGAAAUUGAUGGAGAUACUGCAAUGGCAGGUUAGUGAACAUAGGAGGCGCCCUAAGUUCCUAAUUGGCAAGUCCAUUUUACCUACAAGCUCAAAGCCAAGCACAAGUGCAUCAGCUGUACAGUGA
This 2919-nucleotide ribosomal RNA is filed under the name Triticum aestivum (bread wheat). RNAcentral's name for it is "partial small subunit ribosomal RNA". The record is from RNAcentral. Lineage: Eukaryota; Viridiplantae; Streptophyta; Magnoliopsida; Poales; Poaceae.